This 105-nucleotide small nuclear RNA is filed under the name Castor canadensis (American beaver). The record is from RNAcentral. Lineage: Eukaryota; Metazoa; Chordata; Mammalia; Rodentia; Castoridae.
GUAUCGCUUCGAUAGCACAUAUACUAAAAUUGUAGUGGCACAGCAGAAAUUAGCAUGGCCCGGUGCAAGGAUGACAGGAAAAUUCGUGAAGCGUUCCAUAUUUAA